RNAcentral lists this long non-coding RNA (1368 nucleotides) under Sinocyclocheilus grahami. RNAcentral's name for it is "lncRNA (ENSSGRG00000011771.1)". Lineage: Eukaryota; Metazoa; Chordata; Actinopteri; Cypriniformes; Cyprinidae. The record is from RNAcentral.
GGGAGGUGGCCCCUCGCUGUAUACUCGAUUGGUCACCUGACCCGCGAGAACUAAAAGCGCCAUUUUUUUCAAAGGUAACGUUACUCAACCGCAAAGAUAUUUGAAGGCAAUGGUAGACGGCACUACUUUCAGUGAAUAACGACUUAACUUUUAGGCUGUUCCUCUCUCAAAGUUAUCAUGUGGCUUCAGAAGACUUCGAAUACUGCCCAGAAGUUUGUAUUGGCAGCUUGGCGUUUCAAAUUGGGAUCCAUUUGUAUUGUCUGAAAAAGCUCCAUUUGUGUUUCACUGAAGAAAGAAAGAAAAAAGGAUUAAUGAAAGAAAGCGAUACAGAAAAGUCAGUGCAAAAAGAGAGUGAAGUCAAGGCAGAGCACAUUGAAGAAAGCACAGUAGAGAAAAGGCAAGAUCAUGAUCCAGGUAAGAAAGUGAACAGAGUUGGUUUGGAUAAAGUGUCUUGUAAGUUAAAAAAUCCAAAUGAUGUUAAUAUUUCUAAGUUACCUUUUACAUGAUUGUCACAGUACAGGGACAGAGAAAGCAUGAAGCAGAAGAAGACACGAGUCAGGAGAGAGAUGGAUACAUAUGCAGAGAAGCAAGUUUAAAGUUAUGUUCUUUCUUGUUUAAAUUGUUCUGUUUGUACUUGAGCAUAGAGGUUUGUGCUAAAUGCAAACAGUAAAAUGUUGUAUGUACAGUGAACAGGUGUGUGUGACUGAGUGUGUGCGAGUGAGAGAGAUCAGGAAGACUUGUAUUUGGCUUAUUCAGAACUCAAAAUGUUAUACCCAUUUAUGUAAUACAAUGGAAAACUGGAAUAAGUUUUAAUAUACCACCAUAUGUAAAUCAAGCUUUUUUAAAUUAUUAUUAUUAUUAUACCCUUAAUGGGGGCUGAGCACCCCUAAAAUGAAAAUCCUACAAUCACCCCUGGUUUGGUUAAUAUCAUUGCUGUUAAAAUAAGUUACAGACGCUUCGAGUCCACAUGAAGUUUGGUCAAAAUUAUAUGCAACGUGAAGCCAUUCUGUAGUAGAGUUUGUUCUACAUGCCACUAUUUCUCAUACUGUACUAGAGUCAGAGUUUAUUUAAAUAAUUCUUCAGUAGAGGGCACCAUGAUAUCAGCUUGUCAAACAGGCUUACUUAAGCACACUGAGCUUAGAAUAUCCAUUUAUCUCAAUUGUGUUUGCUUGGUUAGCACAGAUAAACAACAGUUUUUGAUACUAUCACUUGGGCUGUAUUAUCUGAUCAAUCACGUGAUGACGAUGCUAAUAGGCUGAUGGAGCCAAAAAAUGGGCACUGUAUCUUAUCUAGCAAAGAGCCUUGGCAUGAAAGGCACCAGACUGGUUCAUUUCAUACUUUUAAGAUCUAUCAAAACAAAAUUGGGCA